AUUGAACGCUGGCGGCAUGCUUUACACAUGCAAGUCGAACGGCAGCACGGGCUUCGGCCUGGUGGCGAGUGGCGAACGGGUGAGUAUAUAUCGGAACGUACCCAGAAGUGGGGGAUAACGUAGCGAAAGUUACGCUAAUACCGCAUACGAUCUAUGGAUGAAAGCAGGGGACCGCAAGGCCUUGUGCUCCUGGAGCGGCCGAUAUCUGAUUAGCUAGUUGGUGAGGUAAAGGCUCACCAAGGCGACGAUCAGUAGCUGGUCUGAGAGGACGACCAGCCACACUGGAACUGAGACACGGUCCAGACUCCUACGGGAGGCAGCAGUGGGGAAUUUUGGACAAUGGGCGCAAGCCUGAUCCAGCAAUGCCGCGUGAGUGAAGAAGGCCUUCGGGUUGUAAAGCUCUUUUGUCAGGGAAGAAACGGUAGAGGCUAAUAUCCUUUGCUAAUGACGGUACCUGAAGAAUAAGCACCGGCUAACUACGUG
This 483-nucleotide ribosomal RNA is filed under the name uncultured bacterium. Its description in RNAcentral is "partial 16S ribosomal RNA". It matches the Rfam family "Bacterial small subunit ribosomal RNA", at positions 30 to 507 of the family's 1533-position model. The record is from RNAcentral.